This 156-nucleotide ribosomal RNA is filed under the name Aspergillus sp. A1(2013). RNAcentral describes it as "5.8S ribosomal RNA". It matches the Rfam family "5.8S ribosomal RNA". Rfam says of the family: 5.8S ribosomal RNA (5.8S rRNA) is a component of the large subunit of the eukaryotic ribosome. It is transcribed by RNA polymerase I as part of the 45S precursor that also contains 18S and 28S rRNA. Lineage: Eukaryota; Fungi; Ascomycota; Eurotiomycetes; Eurotiales; Aspergillaceae. The record is from RNAcentral.
AACUUCCAACAAUGGAUCUCUUGGUUCCGGCAUCGAUGAAGAACGCAGCGAAAUGCGAUAACUAAUGUGAAUUGCAGAAUUCAGUGAAUCAUCGAGUCUUUGAACGCACAUUGCGCCCCCUGGUAUUCCGGGGGGCAUGCCUGUCCGAGCGUCAUU